CACCUACGGGAGGCAGCAGUGGGGAAUCUUGCGCAAUGGGCGAAAGCCUGACGCAGCCAUGCCGCGUGAAUGAUGAAGGUCUUAGGAUUGUAAAAUUCUUUCACCGGGGACGAUAAUGACGGUACCCGGAGAAGAAGCCCCGGCUAACUUCGUGCCAGCAGCCGCGGUAAUACGAAGGGGGCUAGCGUUGCUCGGAAUUACUGGGCGUAAAGGGCGCGUAGGCGGACAUUUAAGUCAGGGGUGAAAUCCCGAGGCUCAACCUCGGAACUGCCUUUGAUACUGGGUGUCUUGAGUGUGAGAGAGGUAUGUGGAACUCCGAGUGUAGAGGUGAAAUUCGUAGAUAUUCGGAAGAACACCAGUGGCGAAGGCGACAUACUGGCUCAUUACUGACGCUGAGGCGCGAAAGCGUGGGGAGCAAACAGGAUUAGAUACCCUGGUAGUCCACGCCGUAAACGAUGAUUGCUAGUUGUCGGGCUGCAUGCAGUUCGGUGACGCAGCUAACGCAUUAAGCA
Molecule: ribosomal RNA, 512 nt
Filed under: uncultured bacterium
Lineage: Bacteria
Description: bacterial SSU rRNA
Rfam family: Bacterial small subunit ribosomal RNA
Source: RNAcentral